This 403-nucleotide ribosomal RNA is filed under the name Fusobacteriota bacterium. RNAcentral describes it as "Fusobacteria bacterium partial 16S ribosomal RNA". It matches the Rfam family "Bacterial small subunit ribosomal RNA", at positions 355 to 776 of the family's 1533-position model. Lineage: Bacteria; Fusobacteriati; Fusobacteriota. The record is from RNAcentral.
UGGGGAAUCUUGCACAAUGGGGGAAACCCUGAUGCAGCCACGCCGCGUGAGCGAUGAAGGUUUUCGAAUCGUAAAGCUCUGUCCUAUGGGAAGAUAAUGACGGUACCAUGGGAGGAAGCCCCGGCUAACUACGUGCCAGCAGCCGCGGUAAUACGUAGGGGGCGAGCGUUGUCCGGAAUUACUGGGCGUAAAGGGUUCGCAGGCGGCAUGGCAAGUCCGAUGUAAAAGGCGAAGGCUCAACCUUCGUAAGCAUCGGAAACUGUCAAGCUUGAGUGAAGGAGAGGCAAGUGGAAUUCCUAGUGUAGCGGUGGAAUGCGUAGAUAUUAGGAGGAAUACCGGUGGCGAAGGCGACUUGCUGGACAUCAACUGACGCGGAGGAACGAAAGCGUGGGUAGCAAACAGG